GUAGGUGAACCUGCGGAAGGAUCAUUAGUGAAUUUUAGCGCAUCUGCUUGCAGAGCGUGACCUCCACUCUAUACACUGUGCACUCAUUGGCGGAGGAAGAAACUCGUUUAACGACUUGGAUCAACCUCUGCGGCUCACUUUAAACACCAGUCAAAGUACGUAUCAAUCAAUAACAAAAAAAAACUUUCAACAACGGAUCUCUUGGCUCUC
This 210-nucleotide unclassified non-coding RNA is filed under the name rhizosphere metagenome. Its description in RNAcentral is "partial ribosomal RNA internal transcribed spacer region". The record is from RNAcentral.